GCCAUGCGAGUUAACGUAGCAAUACGUGGCAUACGGCUCAGUAACACGUAGUCAACAUGCCCAGGGGACGUGGAUAACCUCGGGAAACUGAGGAUAAACCGCGAUAGGCCAAGAUUUCUGGAAUGAAUCAUGGUUUAAAUCUAUAUGGCCCCUGGAUUGGACUGCGGCCGAUCAGGCUGUUGGUGAGGUAAUGGCCCACCAAACCUGUAACCGGUACGGGCUCUGAGAGGAGGAGCCCGGAGAUGGGCACUUAGACAAGGGCCCAGGCCCUAUGGGGCGCAGCAGGCGCGAAACCUCUGCAAUAAGCGAAAGCUUGACAGGGUUACUCUGAGUGAUUUCCGCUAAGGAAGUCUUUUGGCACCUCUAAAAAUGGUGCAGAAUAAGGGGUGGGCAAGUCUGGUGUCAGCCGCCGCGGUAAUACCAGCACCCCGAGUGGUCGGGACGAUUAUUGGGCCUAAAGCAUCCGUAGCCGGUCCUGCAAGUCCUCCGUUAAAUCCACCCGCUCAACGGUUGGGCCGCGGGGGAUACUACAGGGCUAGGAGGCGGGAGAGGCAAGCGGUACUCGAUGGGUAGGGGUAAAAUCCACUGAUCCAUUGAAGACCACCAGUGGCGAAGGCGGCUUGCCAGAACGCGCUCGACGGUGAGGGAUGAAAGCUGGGGGAGCAAACCGGAUUAGAUACCCGGGUAGUCCCAGCUGUAAACGAUGCAGACUCGGUGAUGAGUUGGCUUAUUGCUAACUCAGUGCCGCAGGGAAGCCGUUAAGUUUGCCGCCUGGGGAGUACGGUCGCAAGACUGAAACUUAA
This 803-nucleotide ribosomal RNA is filed under the name uncultured crenarchaeote. RNAcentral's name for it is "bacterial SSU rRNA". It matches the Rfam family "Archaeal small subunit ribosomal RNA", at positions 48 to 859 of the family's 1478-position model. The record is from RNAcentral. Lineage: Archaea; Thermoproteati; Thermoproteota.